CUACGGGUCGCUGCAGUGAGGAAUAUUGCACAAUGGAGGAAACUCUGAUGCAGCAACGCCGCGUGGAGGAUGACGCAUUUCGGUGUGUAAACUCCUUUUAUAUGUCAAGAAAAUGACGGUAGCAUAUGAAUAAGCACCGGCUAACUCCGUGCCAGCAGCCGCGGUAAUACGGAGGGUGCAAGCGUUACUCGGAAUCACUGGGCGGAAAGGACGCGUAGGCGGGAUAUCAAGUCAGGUGUGAAAUCCUACAGCUUAACUGUAGAACUGCACUUGAAACUUCUAAUCUAGAGUAUGGGAGGGGAGAUGGAAUUAGUGGUGUAGGGGUAAAAUCCGUAGAUAUCACUAGGAAUACCUAAAGCGAAGGCGAUCUCCUGGAACAUUACUGACGCUAAGGCGUGAAAGCGUGGGGAGCAAACAGGAUUAGAUACCCUAGUAGUC
This 438-nucleotide ribosomal RNA is filed under the name uncultured bacterium. RNAcentral's name for it is "partial 16S ribosomal RNA". It matches the Rfam family "Bacterial small subunit ribosomal RNA", at positions 339 to 795 of the family's 1533-position model. The record is from RNAcentral.